AGAGUCUACGGGAGGCAGCAGUGAGGAAUAUUGGUUAAUGGACGAGAGUCUGAACCAGCCAAGUAGCGUGAAGGAUGACUGCCCUAUGGGUUGUAAACUUCUUUUAUAUGGGAAUAAAACGUUCCACGUGUGGGAUUUUGUAUGUACCAUAUGAAUAAGGAUCGGCUAACUCCGUGCCAGCAGCCGCGGUAAUACGGAGGAUCCGAGCGUUAUCCGGAUUUAUUGGGUUUAAAGGGAGCGUAGGGGGAUUGUUAAGUCAGUUGUGAAAGUUUGCGGCUCAACCGUACAAUUGCAGUGGAAACUGG
Molecule: ribosomal RNA, 305 nt
Filed under: uncultured bacterium
Lineage: Bacteria
Description: bacterial SSU rRNA
Rfam family: Bacterial small subunit ribosomal RNA
Source: RNAcentral